RNAcentral lists this ribosomal RNA (496 nucleotides) under uncultured bacterium. RNAcentral describes it as "partial 16S ribosomal RNA". It matches the Rfam family "Bacterial small subunit ribosomal RNA", at positions 28 to 506 of the family's 1533-position model. The record is from RNAcentral.
GACGAACGCUGGCGGCGUGCCUAAUACAUGCAAGUUGAGCGCUGAAGGUUGGUACUUGUACCAACUGGAUGAGCAGCGAACGGGUGAGUAACGCGUGGGGAAUCUGCCUUUGAGCGGGGGACAACAUUUGGAAACGAAUGCUAAUACCGCAUAAAAACUUUAAACACAAGUUUUAAGUUUGAAAGAUGCAAUUGCAUCACUCAAGGAUGAUCCCGCGUUGUAUUAGCUAGUUGGUGAGGUAAAGGCUCACCAAGGCGAUGAUACAUAGCCGACCUGAGAGGGUGAUCGGCCACAUUGGGACUGAGACACGGCCCAAACUCCUACGGGAGGCAGCAGUAGGGAAUCUUCGGCAAUGGACGAAAGUCUGACCGAGCAACGCCGCGUGAGUGAAGAAGGUUUUCGGAUCGUAAAACUCUGUUGGUAGAGAAGAACGUUGGUGAGAGUGGAAAGCUCAUCAAGUGACGGUAACUACCCAGAAAGGGACGGCUAACUACGU